RNAcentral lists this ribosomal RNA (507 nucleotides) under uncultured bacterium. RNAcentral describes it as "partial 16S ribosomal RNA". It matches the Rfam family "Bacterial small subunit ribosomal RNA", at positions 28 to 507 of the family's 1533-position model. The record is from RNAcentral.
GACGAACGCUGGCGGCGUGCCUAAUACAUGCAAGUCGAACGCAUUUUCUUUCACCGUAGCUUGCUACACCGAAAGAAAAUGAGUGGCGAACGGGUGAGUAACACGUGGGUAACCUGCCCAUCAGCGGGGGAUAACACUUGGAAACAGGUGCUAAUACCGCAUAAUUCCAUUUACCGCAUGGUAGAUGGGUGAAAGGCGCUUUUGCGUCACUGAUGGAUGGACCCGCGGUGCAUUAGCUAGUUGGUGGGGUAACGGCCUACCAAGGCUGCGAUGCAUAGCCGACCUGAGAGGGUGAUCGGCCACACUGGGACUGAGACACGGCCCAGACUCCUACGGGAGGCAGCAGUAGGGAAUCUUCGGCAAUGGACGCAAGUCUGACCGAGCAACGCCGCGUGAGUGAAGAAGGUUUUCGGAUCGUAAAACUCUGUUGUUAGAGAAGAACAAGGAUGAGAGUGGAAAGUUCACCCCUUGACGGUAUCUAACCAGAAAGCCACGGCUAACUACGUG